ACAGAACCUACCUUCAAUGAUGGGACU
Molecule: non-coding RNA, 27 nt
Filed under: Rattus norvegicus (Norway rat)
Lineage: Eukaryota; Metazoa; Chordata; Mammalia; Rodentia; Muridae
Source: RNAcentral